AAAGGAACUCUGCAAAAUGACACCGUAACUUCGGGAGAAGGUGUGCCGGUGGUCGUGAAGGUCCUAGCGGCUGGAGCGUCUGCUGGUUGCAGAGAAACGGGGGUUGUGACUGUUUACUAAAAACACAGGACUCUGCGAAGUCGGAAGACGACGUAUAGGGUCUGAUGCCUGCCCGGUGCUGGAAGGUUAAGGGGACGAGUCAGCGCAAGCGAAGCUCCGAACCGAAGCCCCAGUAAACGGCGGCCGUAACGAUAACGGUCCUAAGGUAGUGAAAUUCCUUGUCGGGUAAGUUCCGACCUGCACGAAGGGCAUAACAACAUCCCCGCUGUCUCGAUCAGGGACUCAGCGAAUUUGUAUCGGGGGUGAAGAUACCCUCUACCCGCGGCAAGACGGAAAGACCCCAUGAACCUUUACUGCAACUUGGCAGUGAUUUUCGGGAUGUUCUGCGUAGGAUAGGGAGGCUAUGAAGCUGGGCUUCUGGGUUCAGCUGAGCCAACGUUGAAAUACCACCCUGGAUAUUCUGGAAAUCUAACCCAGGCCCCUGACCGGGGUCGGGGACACUGCCUGGUGGGCAGUUUGACUGGGGCGGUCGCCUCCUAAAACGUAACGGAGGCGUGCGAAGGUUCCCUCAGCCUGAUUGGAAACCAGGCGUAGAGUGCAAACGCACAAGGGAGCUUAACUGUGAGACCGACAGGUCGAACAGGUGCGAAAGCAGGCGUUAGUGAUCCGGUGGUUCUGUAUGGAAGGGCCAUCGCUUAUCGGAUAAAAGGUACUCUGGGGAUAACAGGCUGAUCGCGCCUGAGAGUUCAUAUCGGCGGCGCGGUUUGGCACCUCGAUGUCGGCCCAUCGCAUCCUGGGGCUGGAGCAGGUCCCAAGGGUUCGGCUGUUCGCCGAUUAAAGCGGUACGCGAGCUGGGUUUAAAACGUCGUGAGACAGUUUGGUCCCUAUCUGCCGUGGGCGUAGGACACUUGAGAGGAGCUGCCCAUAGUACGAGAGGACCUAGGUGGACGUACCUCUGGUGUUCCGGUUGUCCUGCCAAGGGCAUAGCCGGGUAGCCAUGUACGGAACGGAUAACCGCUGAAAGCAUCUAAGCGGGAAGCCGGCCUCAAGACUAGGUGUCCCGGGCCGCAAGGCCCCUAAAGACCCCUUGUAGACGACGAGGUUGAUAGGCCGGGUGUGGAAGCCGAGCAAUCGGCGGAGCUAACCGGUACUAAUCGGUCGUGCGGCUUGAUCAA
RNAcentral lists this ribosomal RNA (1235 nucleotides) under metagenome. RNAcentral describes it as "bacterial LSU rRNA". It matches the Rfam family "Bacterial large subunit ribosomal RNA", at positions 1706 to 2925 of the family's 2925-position model. The record is from RNAcentral.